UACGAAGGGGGCUAGCGUUGCUCGGAAUCACUGGGCGUAAAGCGCACGUAGGCGGAUUGCUAAGUCAGGGGUGAAAUCCCGGGGCUCAACCCCGGAACUGCCUUUGAUACUGGUAGUCUCGAGUCCGGAAGAGGUGAGUGGAAUUCCGAGUGUAGAGGUGAAAUUCGUAGAUAUUCGGAGGAACACCAGUGGCGAAGGCGGCUCACUGGUCCGGUACUGACGCUGAGGUGCGAAAGCGUGGGGAGCAAACAGG
Molecule: ribosomal RNA, 253 nt
Filed under: uncultured bacterium
Lineage: Bacteria
Description: partial 16S ribosomal RNA
Rfam family: Bacterial small subunit ribosomal RNA
Source: RNAcentral